UACGUAGGGUGCGAGCGUUGUCCGGAAUUAUUGGGCGUAAAGAGCUCGUAGGCGGCGUGUCACGUCGGCCGUGAAAACCUGGGGCUUAACUCUGGGCGUGCGGUCGAUACGGGCAUCACUAGAGUUCGGCAGGGGAGACUGGAAUUCCUGGUGUAGCGGUGAAAUGCGCAGAUAUCAGGAGGAACACCGGUGGCGAAGGCGGGUCUCUGGGCCGAUACUGACGCUGAGGAGCGAAAGCGUGGGGAGCGAACAGG
RNAcentral lists this ribosomal RNA (254 nucleotides) under uncultured bacterium. RNAcentral's name for it is "partial 16S ribosomal RNA". It matches the Rfam family "Bacterial small subunit ribosomal RNA", at positions 524 to 776 of the family's 1533-position model. The record is from RNAcentral.